RNAcentral lists this ribosomal RNA (507 nucleotides) under uncultured fungus. Its description in RNAcentral is "SSU rRNA". It matches the Rfam family "Eukaryotic small subunit ribosomal RNA", at positions 209 to 719 of the family's 1831-position model. The record is from RNAcentral. Lineage: Eukaryota; Fungi.
AUUAGAUAAAAAACCAAUGCCCUUCGGGGCUCUUUGGUGAUUCAUAAUAACUUAACGAAUCGCAUGGCCUUGUGCCGGCGAUGGUUCAUUCAAAUUUCUGCCCUAUCAACUUUCGAUGAUAAUGUAUUGGAUUAUCAUGGUUUCAACGGGUAACGGGGAAUUAGGGUUCUAUUCCGGAGAGGGAGCCUGAGAAACGGCUACCACAUCCAAGGAAGGCAGCAGGCGCGCAAAUUACCCAAUCCCGACACGGGGAGGUAGUGACAAUAAAUACUGAUACAGGGCUCUUUUGGGUCUUGUAAUUGGAAUGAGUACAAUUUAAAUCCCUUAACGAGGAACAAUUGGAGGGCAAGUCUGGUGCCAGCAGCCGCGGUAAUCCAGCUCCAAUAGCGUAUAUUAAAGUUGUGCAGUUAAAAGCUCGUAGUUGAACCUUGGGCCUGCUGGCCGGUCCGCUCACGCGUGCACUGGUCCGGCCGGGCCUUUCCUUUGGGAGCGAUGUCCCCCACUGGG